This 253-nucleotide ribosomal RNA is filed under the name uncultured bacterium. RNAcentral's name for it is "partial 16S ribosomal RNA". It matches the Rfam family "Bacterial small subunit ribosomal RNA", at positions 524 to 776 of the family's 1533-position model. The record is from RNAcentral.
UACGUAGGGGGCUAGCGUUGUCCGGAAUCAUUGGGCGUAAAGCGCGUGUAGGCGGUUUGUCGCGUCUGCUGUGAAAACUCGGGGCUUAACUCCGGGCCUGCAGUGGGUACGGGCAGACUAGAGUUCGGCAGGGGAGACUGGAAUUCCUGGUGUAGCGGUGAAAUGCGCAGAUAUCAGGAGGAACACCGGUGGCGAAGGCGGGUCUCUGGGCCGAUACUGACGCUGAGGAGCGAAAGCGUGGGGAGCGAACAGG